Molecule: ribosomal RNA, 771 nt
Filed under: uncultured bacterium
Lineage: Bacteria
Description: bacterial SSU rRNA
Rfam family: Bacterial small subunit ribosomal RNA
Source: RNAcentral
AGUUCUCGUUGAUGAUCGGUGCUUGCACUGAGAUUCAACAUGGACCUUUUGGCGGACGGGUGAGUAACACGUGGGUAACCUGCCCUCCAGUGGGGGAUAACAUUUGGAAACAGAUGCUAAUACCGCAUAGAUCCAAGAACCGCAUGGUUCUUGGCUGAAAGAUGGCGUAAGCUAUCGCUUUUGGAUGGACCCGCGGCGUAUUAGCUAGUUGGUGAGGUAAUGGCUCACCAAGGCGAUGAUACGUAGCCGAACUGAGAGGUUGAUCGGCCACAUUGGGACUGAGACACGGCCCAAACUCCUACGGGAGGCAGCAGUAGGGAAUCUUCCACAAUGGACGCAAGUCUGAUGGAGCAACGCCGCGUGAGUGAAGAAGGCUUUCGGGUCGUAAAACUCUGUUGUUGGAGAAGAAUGGUCGGCAGAGUAACUGUUGUCGGCGUGACGGUAUCCAACCAGAAAGCCACGGCUAACUACGUGCCAGCAGCCGCGGUAAUACGUAGGUGGCAAGCGUUAUCCGGAUUUAUUGGGCGUAAAGCGAGCGCAGGCGGUUUUUUAAGUCUGAUGUGAAAGCCCUCGGCUUAACCGAGGAAGCGCAUCGGAAACUGGGAAACUUGAGUGCAGAAGAGGACAGUGGAACUCCAUGUGUAGCGGUGAAAUGCGUAGAUAUAUGGAAGAACACCAGUGGCGAAGGCGGCUGUCUGGUCUGUAACUGACGCUGAGGCUCGAAAGCAUGGGUAGCGAACAGGAUUAGAUACCCUGGUAGUCCAUGCCGUA